GAAAAAAAAAGAUAGUAGUGGCUCUCUCUUUAAUCUUGUAUAAAGAGAAAAAGCUUUGUUUUCACUUCUGUUCUCCCUCUGGUUUCAGCCAUUUCUUCUGCCUUCUCUGAGGCCUCCUUUUCCCCUUUCAGGUAAGGGAGGUCGUUCCUGGUCCAGAAUAGUGGGUCAAUUACUUCAGGAUUAAUGGGUUAACGAUUUCCAGUGGCGUGGUAACUCUUUAAGAUAUUACCCAUAUCUUUCUUUGAGCAUUUAGUCUCUCGAUGGCCAGAGAAGUAAAAGAGCUUUGCCCACCACUCAUCUAUUCCCUUGGU
RNAcentral lists this unclassified non-coding RNA (311 nucleotides) under Hevea brasiliensis (rubber tree). Lineage: Eukaryota; Viridiplantae; Streptophyta; Magnoliopsida; Malpighiales; Euphorbiaceae. The record is from RNAcentral.